This 1458-nucleotide ribosomal RNA is filed under the name uncultured Bordetella sp. RNAcentral describes it as "partial 16S-23S ribosomal RNA intergenic spacer". It matches the Rfam family "Bacterial small subunit ribosomal RNA". Lineage: Bacteria; Pseudomonadati; Pseudomonadota; Betaproteobacteria; Burkholderiales; Alcaligenaceae. The record is from RNAcentral.
AGUUCGAUCAUGGCCUGUGGGGAUUGAACGCUGGCGGGAUGCUUACACAUGCAAGUCGAACGGCAGCACGGACUUCGGUCUGUGGCGAGUGGCGAAUCGGGUGAGUAAUGUAUCGGAACGUGCCUAGUAGAAGGACACGCGAAAGCGUAGCUAAUACCGCAUACGCUCUGGGAAAGCGGGGACCUUCGGGCCUCGCACUAUUAGAGCGGCUGAUAGCCGGAUUACGAGAAGCUGCGGGUAACGGCUCACUGGCCAGACGGAUCCGUAGCUGGUUUGAGAGGACGACCAGCCACACCGGGACUGGAGACACGGCCCACCAGAUCCCGGAGGCAGGGGAAUUUUGGACAAUGGGGGAAACCUCCUGAUCCAGCCAUCCCGCGUACAUGAAGGCCGGGUUGUAAAGCACUUUCGGCAGGAAAAGAAACGGUACGGAUAAUACCCCGUGCAACUGGACGAGGUACCUGCAGAAUAAGCACUGGCUAACUACGUGCCAGCAGCCGCGUAAUACGUAGGUGCAAGCGUUAUCUGGAAUUGGCCAUGCAAAGCGUGCGCAGGCGGUCUGGAAAGAAAGAUGAAAUCCAGAGCUUAAUCUGGUCCGCAUUUUUAACUACCGAGCUAGGGUGUGUCAGAGGGAGGUGAAUUCGCGUAGCAGUGAAAUGCGUAGAUAUGCGAGGAACACCGAUGGCGAAGGAGGAUUUCCUGGGAUAACACUGCUCAUGCACGAAAGCGUAAGAGCAAAUGAGAUUGAUACUCCUGCAAGUCCACGCCUCUAAACGAUGUCAACUAGCUGUUGGGGCCUUCGGGCCUUUUGUAGCAGCUAACGCGUAGUUGACCGCCUGGGGAGUACGGUCGCAAGAUUAAAACUCAAAGGAAUUGGAUGUGGACCCGAAAUGCUGAAAGAUGAUGUGGAUUAAUCUGAUGCAAAUGCGAAAACUUUACCUGCCCUUGACAUGUCUGGAAUCCCGAAGAGAUUUGGGAGUGCUCGCAAGAGAACCGAAACAGGUGUUGCAUGGCUUGUCGUCAGCUCGUGUCGUGAGAUGCUGGGUUAAGUCCCGCAACGAGCGCGCAACCGUCAUUAGUUGCUACGAAAGGGCACUUCCAUCGAGAUCGUUGGUGACAAACUGGAGGAAGGUGGGGAUGACGUCAAGUCCUCAUGGCCCUUAUGGGUAGGGCUUCACACGUCAUACAAUGGUCGGGACAGAGGGUCGCCAACCCGGCAGGGGGAGCCAAUCCCAGAACCGACGGGGAACCGGAUCGUGAACAAAACUUCGACUGCGUGAAGUCGGAAUCGCUAGUAAUCGCGACUGCGCCACGUCGCGUGAAUACGUUCCCGGGUCUGCACACACCGCCCGUCACACCAUGGGAGUGGGUUUUACCAGAAGUAGUUAGGCCUAACCGUAAGGAGGGCGUUGAUUACUAAUGGUGAUUCAUGACUGGGGUGAAGUCGUAACAAGGUAG